This 619-nucleotide long non-coding RNA is filed under the name Mytilus galloprovincialis (Mediterranean mussel). The record is from RNAcentral. Lineage: Eukaryota; Metazoa; Mollusca; Bivalvia; Mytilida; Mytilidae.
AUUGCAUUGCUCAAGUUUAAUACAAAUAGAGGGUAUCCAUUUACUUAAAUGUAAAGCUUGAAAUGUACUUAAUUUUUAUUUUAUGUAGAAAAUGUACAUCAAUUAUCAUUGCCUAAAGUAGGCUAUUUUGUGUAUGAAUCUGUAGUCCAAAGUUUGCUAAACAGUGACAUAUGUAUCUCUGAAAUGUAAGACACAAAAUGAAAAAUUCUUUAACAGUACUAAUUAUUUUUUGGAAAAAUUAGAUUAAUUGACAUCAAGGAACCCACUUAAUCUUGAUUAUGAUUUAUGUCCCAAAAUAUACCUAUCCUUGCAGAGUAUUCCGACACCCUGCUUAAUCCAACAUUUUUUUUGGUCCCCCAGUGUGUCGGUUGAGGCAGGUUACACUAGUACUGUUAAGUUAAUGUUCUUAAAAUUUGAUGUCAGACACUAUUCUUGUAGUACCCCUUCAUAAAGUGCCAGUAUUUACUAGUAUUUAACAAAUAGAAUCAUAUUCAAAACAGUGUGGCUGUGGCUGUUGAUUGACGACCUAAAUUAUCUCAUUGACUGGGACAGAUUAUGUGAACUUUUGUCUGUAACGACCACUGCUCACUACUUACUUAUUAUAGAAUUUAAACUGUGG